RNAcentral lists this ribosomal RNA (253 nucleotides) under uncultured Oscillospiraceae bacterium. RNAcentral's name for it is "partial 16S ribosomal RNA". It matches the Rfam family "Bacterial small subunit ribosomal RNA", at positions 524 to 776 of the family's 1533-position model. Lineage: Bacteria; Bacillati; Bacillota; Clostridia; Eubacteriales; Oscillospiraceae. The record is from RNAcentral.
UACGUAGGUGGCAAGCGUUAUCCGGAUUUACUGGGUGUAAAGGGCGAGUAGGCGGGAUUGCAAGUCAGAUGUGAAAACUAUGGGCUCAACCGAUAGAGUGCAUUUGAAACUGCAGUUCUUGAGUGAUGGAGAGGCAGGCGGAAUUCCCGGUGUAGCGGUGGAAUGCGUAGAUAUCGGGAGGAACACCAGUGGCGAAGGCAGCUCACUGGACUGCAACUGACACUGAGGCUCGAAAGUGUGGGUAUCAAACAGG